AACGUAGGAGACAAACGUUAUCCGGAGUUACUGGGCGUAAAGGGCGUGUAGGCGGUUUGUUAAGUCUGGCGUGAAAGCUCUCGGCUAAACCGGGAGAGGUCGUUGGAUACUGGCAAACUAGAGGACGGUAGAGGCGUGUGGAGUUCCGGGUGUAGUGGUGAAAUGCGUAGAGAUCCGGAGGAACACCAGUGGCGAAGGCGACACGCUGGGCCGUACCUGACGCUAAAGCGCGACAGCAUGGGGAGCAAACGGG
Molecule: ribosomal RNA, 253 nt
Filed under: uncultured bacterium
Lineage: Bacteria
Description: partial 16S ribosomal RNA
Rfam family: Bacterial small subunit ribosomal RNA
Source: RNAcentral